Molecule: ribosomal RNA, 20 nt
Filed under: Cladrastis kentukea
Lineage: Eukaryota; Viridiplantae; Streptophyta; Magnoliopsida; Fabales; Fabaceae
Also listed under: 5 other names
Description: partial large subunit ribosomal RNA
Source: RNAcentral
GGGACCUCAGGUCAGGCGGG